AUUGAACGCUGGCGGCAUGCUUUACACAUGCAAGUCGAACGGUAACAGGCCGCAAGGUGCUGACGAGUGGCGAACGGGUGAGUAAUGCAUCGGAACGUGCCCAGUCGUGGGGGAUAACUACUCGAAAGAGUAGCUAAUACCGCAUACGAUCUAUGGAUGAAAGCGGGGGACCGUAAGGCCUCGCGCGAUUGGAGCGGCCGAUGUCAGAUUAGGUAGUUGGUGGGGUAAAGGCUCACCAAGCCAACGAUCUGUAGCUGGUCUGAGAGGACAACCAGCCACACUGGGACUGAGACACGGCCCAGACUCCUACGGGAGGCAGCAGUGGGGAAUUUUGGACAAUGGGCGCAAGCCUGAUCCAGCAAUGCCGCGUGCAGGAAGAAGGCCUUCGGGUUGUAAACUGCUUUUGUACGGGACGAAACGGCUCUGGUUAAUACCCGGGGCUAAUGACGGUACCGUAAGAAUAAGCACCGGCUAACUACGUG
This 482-nucleotide ribosomal RNA is filed under the name uncultured bacterium. Its description in RNAcentral is "partial 16S ribosomal RNA". It matches the Rfam family "Bacterial small subunit ribosomal RNA", at positions 30 to 507 of the family's 1533-position model. The record is from RNAcentral.